UCGAUUUGGAGUUUGUUGCCCUGAGUGAUGGGCUCCGAAGCUAACGCGAUAAAUCGACCGCCUGGGGAGUACGGCCGCAAGGUUAAAACUCAAAUGAAUUGACGGGGGCCCGCACAAGCGGUGGAGCAUGUGGUUUAAUUCGAUGCAACGCGAAGAACCUUACCUGGUCUUGACAUCCACAGAAUCUUGCAGAGAUGCGAGAGUGCCUUCGGGAACUGUGAGACAGGUGCUGCAUGGCUGUCGUCAGCUCGUGUUGUGAAAUGUUGGGUUAAGUCCCGCAACGAGCGCAACCCUUAUCCUUUGUUGCCAUUGGUUCGGCCGGGAACUCAAAGGAGACUGCCGUUGAUAAAGCGGAGGAAGGUGGGGACGACGUCAAGUCAUCAUGGCCCUUACGACCAGGGCUACACACGUGCUACAAUGGCGUAUACAAAGGGAGGCGACCUCGCGAGANCAAGCGGACCUCAUAAAGUACGUCUAAGUCCGGAUUGGAGUCUGCAACUCGACUCCAUGAAGUCGGAAUCGCUAGUAAUCGUGAAUCAGAAUGUCACGGUGAAUACGUUCCCGGGCCU
Molecule: ribosomal RNA, 569 nt
Filed under: uncultured Gammaproteobacteria bacterium
Lineage: Bacteria; Pseudomonadati; Pseudomonadota; Gammaproteobacteria
Description: bacterial SSU rRNA
Rfam family: Bacterial small subunit ribosomal RNA
Source: RNAcentral